This 1276-nucleotide ribosomal RNA is filed under the name metagenome. Its description in RNAcentral is "SSU rRNA". It matches the Rfam family "Eukaryotic small subunit ribosomal RNA", at positions 558 to 1823 of the family's 1831-position model. The record is from RNAcentral.
AGUCUGGUGCCAGCAGCCGCGGUAAUUCCAGCUCCAAUAGUGUAUAUUAAAGUUGCUGCAGUUAAAAAGCUCGUAGUUGGAUUUCGGAUUAAUGGGAAGUUAGGGUCCAUCAUUUCGAUGUGUACUUUAUUCUCGUUUCCUUCCUUUUGAAUACACUCCUUAAAAUUCUUUUAAGGAUCAAAGUGUUUCAAAUCUUUUACUGUGAAGAAAUUAGAGUGUUCAAAGCAGGCGUAAUCUAGCCUUUGAAUAUAUUAGCAUGGGAUAAUGAAAUAGGACUUUAGUACUACUUUCGUUGGUUUCUAGGGCUAAAGUAAUGAUUAAUAGGGAUAGUUGGGGUCACUAGUAUUUAAUUGUCAGAGGUGAAAUUCUAAGAUUUAUUAAAGACUAACUACUGCGAAAGCAUUUGACAAGGAUGUUUUCAUUAAUCAAGAACGAAAGUUGGGGGAUCGAAGAUGAUCAGAUACCGUCGUAGUCUCAACCAUAAACUAUGCCGACCAAGGAUCCGGGGGUGUUAAAUAUGGAUGACUCUCCGGGCACUUAUAGAGAAAUCAUAAGUAUUUGGGCUCCGGGGGGAGUAUGGUCACAAGGCUGAAACUUAAAGGAAUUGACGGAAGGGCACCACAAGGAGUGGAACCUGCGGUUUAAUUUGACUCAACACGGGGAAACUUACCAGGUCCAGACACAGUGAGGAUUGACAGAUUGAGAGUUCUUUCUUGAUUCUGUGAGUGGUGGUGCAUGGCCGUUUCUAGUUGGUGGAGUGAUUUGUCUGGUUAAUUCCGUUAACGAACGAGACCUUAACCUAUUAAAUAGUUGCUUGAACACAUGAAUAAUUUAUUCUUUGUUUGAUUAACUUCUUAGAGGGACUCUUCACUGAGAGAGUGAAUGGAAGUUUGAGGCAAAAACAGGUCUGUGAUGCCCUUAGAUGUUCUGGGCCACACGCGCGUUACACUGACAUAUUCAACGAGCAUUUUCCUGACUCGAUAGGGUUGGGUAAUCUUCUAAAUGUAUGUCGUGCUGGGGAUAGAUCAUUGUAAUUAUUGGUCUUGAACGAGGAAUUCCUAGUAAGUGCAAGUCAUCAACUUGCGCUGAUUACGUCCCUGCCCUUUGUACACACCGCCCGUCGCUCCUACCGAUUGAAUGGUCCGGCGAGAACUCAAGAUGGAUAUAGGUUUUGGGCACCGUUAGGUGAUCCAACUAUUUCCAAAAUUUGUUCAAACCUUACCAUUUAGAGGAAGGAGAAGUCGUAACAAGGUUUCCGUAGGUGAACCUGCGGAAG